Molecule: unclassified non-coding RNA, 241 nt
Filed under: Hevea brasiliensis (rubber tree)
Lineage: Eukaryota; Viridiplantae; Streptophyta; Magnoliopsida; Malpighiales; Euphorbiaceae
Source: RNAcentral
GAACAUUGCAAGGUAUCAGUCAGCCUGCAAUAUCAAUGAAAAAAUGGGAAAAUUACAAACAAAACUAUCAUAUGGUUUCACGCAUUUGUCAGGUUGCUUAGUAAAUAGAGAAAAUUACCUAGAAACAAUUUUAAAAAGUUACGAAAAAUUAUAAUUAAGUUCUUGAAAUUUAAUAAAACCUAAAGAUUAGUGAUGUAUUUUUAAAAUCAAGAUGUUUAUUCGUUGAUAUUUUAAUAAGCUU